AGCUCCAGAAGCGUAUAUUAAAGUUGUUGCAGUUAAAAAGCUCGUAGUUGAAUGUCUGGUUUUUUAAGGCCGUAUCGGUCCGGGGAGUUCUCGCAAGAGGCUCCGUUUGUGUAUCGAUGUUUUUUUUGGUCUGCCAUUAUGUCGGGUACGCCUCGCGCAAGUGCGGUGUGCUUGAUUGUUUACUUUGAAAAAAUUAGAGUGUUUAAAGCAGGACAUUUUUUACGUGUCCAUUGAAUACAUUAGCAUGGAAUAAUGAGAUAGGACUCUGGUCUUAUUUUGUUGGUUUCUAAGACUCGAGUAAUGAUUGAUAGGGACGGUUGGGGGUGCUAGUAUUCAACGGCCAGAGGUGAAAUUCAUGGAUUCGUUGAAGACUAACUAAAGCGAAAGCAUUCACCAAGGA
RNAcentral lists this ribosomal RNA (400 nucleotides) under phytoplankton environmental sample. Its description in RNAcentral is "partial small subunit ribosomal RNA". It matches the Rfam family "Eukaryotic small subunit ribosomal RNA", at positions 587 to 964 of the family's 1831-position model. The record is from RNAcentral.